AUGGCUCGUCGUUGUCCCAUCUGCUACACGUGCAGCUCCGCCGUAGAUGCGGAAGGAGGCCAAGCAGCCAGUCCUCGUGCAGCUCUGCCGCUUGGUGCCGCCGGCUACGCGGUGCUGCCGAGUGAUUUUUUUGGUCACGGCCGUUCAGCGGAGUUCUCAGUGCAAGCUUUCUUUCUUAUGCAUGCUGAUGGAAAAGUGCAGGAUGAAAGUGAGCGAACUUACAGGAGGAGCAGUAAUCAAAUCCUACUAUGUUCGCUGGCAAUUCCAGCCUAUAAGUCCCACUGGCUACGCAGAGAAAUUGACAGACAAAUCGAAGGACCAGACUUGCGCCGACGAUACCGUGUCAAACGCACACCGUACCGACGCUCCAAUCUAGACCUUAUCGACCUCCCGGAAGCCGCUGCGGCCGCGGCGGCGGCGCGCGUCCGCGCGGGCGCCGGCGCCAACGGUCUCCCUGCCGAGCAGCCGCUCCAGCUCCCGCGUGAUCCACUCCACCUCGUGCACGUACAGCAGCGUCGUCGGCUGCGCCGUCUUCGCCGCUGCCUUCUCCAUCUCCAUGGCGAGGCGAGUCAGCGAGAUGAGAUUGACAGAUUGUGGCUUGUGAGAGGAGGAAGUCAAGUCGGUGGAGGAGAGGAGGCGAGGAUGGCAUGCCUGCCGGUUGCUUAA
Molecule: ribosomal RNA, 666 nt
Filed under: Triticum aestivum (bread wheat)
Lineage: Eukaryota; Viridiplantae; Streptophyta; Magnoliopsida; Poales; Poaceae
Description: partial small subunit ribosomal RNA
Source: RNAcentral